This 251-nucleotide ribosomal RNA is filed under the name uncultured prokaryote. RNAcentral describes it as "partial 16S rRNA". It matches the Rfam family "Bacterial small subunit ribosomal RNA", at positions 525 to 775 of the family's 1533-position model. The record is from RNAcentral.
ACGGAAGAUCCGAGCGUUAUCCGGAUUUAUUGGGUUUAAAGGGAGCGUAGGCGGACUGUCAAGUCAGCUGUGAAAGUUUGCGGCUCAACCGUAAAAUUGCAGUUGAAACUGACAGUCUUGAGUUCACAUAAGGAUGGUGGAAUUUGUGGUGUAGCGGUGAAAUGCAUAGAUAUCACGAAGAACUCCAAUUGCGAAGGCAGCCAUCUGGGGUGCGACUGACGCUGAGGCUCGAAAGUGCGGGAAUCAAACAG